Molecule: long non-coding RNA, 3904 nt
Organism: Mirounga angustirostris (Northern elephant seal)
Lineage: Eukaryota; Metazoa; Chordata; Mammalia; Carnivora; Phocidae
Exons: 6
Source: RefSeq, a predicted model, not a curated record
UUCCUGGAGCAGCCUGCAGCGGUCCCGGGCGCGGCACCUGCGGCUGGCGACUCUCCCGCUGGGGCGCAGGGCCCUGGCUACGGGGCACCCCAGCCGAAGCCGGCGCGGGUGACGGGCCGGGAAGGGAGGGCUGCGCCUCCGCCUUUGGGGGAGACUCCGCGUCAGCAGCCUUGCAGGCCACCUCACUGAAUGUGGUGCUCAGAGUAUUGAUGGAAAAUUCACAGAUUGGUAUUUGAUGCCAGACAGGUAUUGAACAUGGAGCAGUGUAGAUUCAAGGAGCAAAAGGUCUCUUCUUUCACAGUUGACCUUUGAACAACACUGGUUUGAACUGCACUGGUUCACUUAUACAUGGAUUUUUUUUGAUGAAUACAGUACAAUACUGUAAGUGCUUGUUACCAUGAUGAUGUUGGAGCAACUGCUGUCUGCACAAUGGGAGGUCCAAAAGCAACUGAAAAGGGAAGGAGAAGAACUGAACAUAUUCUGAAAAGAACUCAUCUUAUAUUUGAAGAUGCUGGUGUGGAAGAUUAUAGUGAGGUUCACCUUCAAAUUUUAAGAUUUGAAGAAACAUAUGGAACACAAGCUAAAACAAAUGUAAAUGGAUGUGCUGACCAGGAAGACCGCUUUCUUUGGGAAGCUGGAGAAGCAGUCCCUGACAGCUCCAAGGCUACUUGUAGCCAAACUAUUCCAAGAUCAUAAAGGAAAAGAAGUCCUCUCUCUCAGAAUUGGUUUCUUCUAAGGUCCAGAAGGCCCUUUUGAUUGGCCAAGCUUGGCUUGUGUGCCGACUCCUGUGGCCAGAGAAGUGGAGUCUUUAACCAGAGAAGGGAUAUCACACAGGUAUGGCCACCAGAGAAUUGUUGGGAGGCAGUCAAGUGCCCAGUGUGACCAGUGCAGAUUUGAAGAGCUAGGAGGCCACAGUAUGUGAUGUGGGAUUUAUUCAUUGGUUUUCAUUUCAGAUAUUUCAAAUGAAAUAAACUUCAGUUCGUUUUGUGAAUCUCAGUGUUGCAUGGGGCUUAGUAGGAGAUGCAAUUCCACAUAUGACUCAGUGCCUGCAUUCGGGGAGCUUAAAAUGUAAUGAUAGAGAUAAAGAGGCACCUGAAGUCCCAGCUGGAAACAAUACAACGGUUUUAGGGAAAGAGCUGAAAUCCUAAAGCUGAUGAAUAUGGAACUUGAAGGGUUACAUUGAUAACAGUUUUUGCCAGGCAUUUUGCCCCAAAUCAUAUUCCCAAGCCAAAUACAAUUGGUAUUUGUAUUUUAAGAUCAAAUGAUCUUAAUGAUCAAAAUGUCAUAGAUAAAAAAGAAAAUUGAUACUUUUUCUUGAACUUUUGGCCUUUAUCUUUUUUUUCGUGGGUGUUGUCUGUGUUGGUAUAUACAUAGACAGCCUUUUCCUUUGGAAAGUUACAUUAUUGUGCUGAAAUAUAUUUUACUUUUAGCAAUAAAUAUGACAGUAUGGUUCUUUGGUCUUAUAUUUUCUAGACAUAGCUUGUAUAACAGAAAACAAUUAUUUUCUCCUUUGAAUCAAGGAAUCGGUAGCUCACUCUAAAAUUUAUCUGGACGGAAUUUUGCAUAUUAAGUUAUAUUCUGUUGGCAGUUAGAUUGUUGGAAAAGUGUGAAAAGUUUCAGUCAGUCUAUGUUUUGCUUCGUCAUACAAAUUAGCUUCUUGGUUUUAUAAUCUGAAGCACAUGCAUAUUAAGUAGAGGAAACUAAUUACAGUAAAUCCUGGCAAUAAUCCGGAUGUUUCAAUAAUAUCACAUUGUUAAUUCUGAGUUUACUUGUAACACUGUUGCGUAAGGGUCUUAUUUUUAAAUUGUUUUAGUCUUGUUGGCCUCGGCUUCUCUGAUGAUUAAAUUAAUUGAAUUGAUUAGAUUUUGUUUAAUUAGAUUUUAUACUUUGAUGUCACAUCAUGGCUUUUGAAAGCAUUUUGCACCCUCUUCAUUGUGGGCAAUACAUAUAGAUUUAGCUAGUGGUUCAUAUAUACUCUGUUUCUUUCUUUUGUGGACUGGCAAUAACCAAUUUACAUAUUUCGGGGAUGCUAGAGGAUCGCUCCUUGCUUUUAAAAGUAGGAUAUAUCCACCUGAAUAAUAUUUUUAGUGACUGCCAAAAUGACUGUUUGCUCCAGCAUUUAUGCCCGUUUUUCAUUGUAGGGUAAAUGGCCCUUCAAACUAAAUGGGGAUGUUUAAUAUUCCAGGGAUUUAACCCACAAUCUUUGAUGAAUGCCAGUGCUGUUUUAAAAAGAAUUGCUGUCUUGGGCGCCUGGGUGGCUCAGUCGUUAAGCGUCUGCCUUCGGCUCAGGUCAUGAUCCCAGGGUCCUGGGAUCGAGUCCCGCAUCAGGCUCCCUGUUCCGCGGGAAGCCUGCUUCUCCCCCUCCCACUCCCCCUGCUUGUGUUCCUGCUCUCGCUAUCUCUCUCUCUCUGUCAAAUAAAUAAAUAAAAUCUUUAAAAAAAAAAAAAAAGAAUUGCUGUCUUAGUGUAAAUAAAAUCAAAAUCCUGGCAUUACAAUCUAAUUGAGAAAUCUGUUUGGAAUGUCGGGUCACUAGAGAUCAUAUGUGACCUCCUGGAGCAAAAGAAAAUGCAAACGAUGAUGGCAAAGGGUAUAGGAUGUUGAGGAAACACAAUGAUGUCAGCACUAAGACGUUGACAUCACUGCAUCCGUCUUGGCCUUUUCCCCUCGUGCCCUGAUCAAGGCAGGAAAAGGGGAAAAGGUGGUGUGGGCUGCACUUGGUCCUUUAAUCAGGAAGCCUUGCCAGCAGUUGCCAGGAGACUUCUGCUUCCGUCUGAUUGCCUGGCGCUGUGUGGGAGGCUGAGGAAGCUCUCUGAUCCUCAUGGUGGGAGAAGUCAAGGGACACGGGACUUGGGAAUGGCAGUUAGACCAGCCAAAUGGCAGCAUCUACCACAUACAGCAAGGGCAGAUUUUGUAAGCUUGGCAGCAUGCCGGUGAAGGAUUUCCCAUCUGAGAUUUCUGUUUUCUUUGGAAGUUGGAAAUAAGCUCAUCUGCUAAGAGAGUAAUGGAACAUGUGAAGGUAGUGAAAAUCAGAAAUGGCCUUUUUGGAGACUUGGAGAAACUGGGAACUGAUGAAAGACACUAACUGAUUUCUUCUGAGCAACGCUGAGGUUCGACUGAAAUUAGAGAUCAUGGAUUCAGAGGUCGCACGACUAGAGGAACGCGCGGCUACGCAAAGGCUGCUCAGUACGUGACCACGGGACAGUGGAAAUGCUGUGCGUCACUAUAGGGUACACUUGAUGCGAUUGGGUUAUAUAAUCACUUUUAUCUUGAGUUGUUUAUAUGAAAUUCAUAUUGUUUCCUUUUUUAAAAUUUUUUUUAUUCAUUCUGUAUAAAUCAUUACCUGCAUGGUUUAAGUAUGUCUCCUAUAGAGUACACAGUCAUGUUGUAGGAGAUUGAUCGUUGUGAAAGUCUUCAGAUCUAUAGGGAAAUUGAAAGAGUAGUAUAAUAAACAGCCUCCCGGCAUUCACGGACAUUCAGUAACUAAUAUCUUCCCACAUUUUCUGUCUCCUUUCUCAAUCUCUCCCUCUCUCUCCACAAACACACACACGUUUUUUUAUCCCGAACCCCUUGAAACUUUAAGUUGUAGACAAUAAGACACUGUAGUGCUAAAUACUUCAGCAUGUGUCUCCUGGUAAUUGGGACAUCCUCCUAUGCAAACACAACAGCAUGGAUUUUUGUCCCUUAGAGAAUCAACAUUAAUCUCACCAAUGAGGCUUCAGUACAUCUUUGUUUCCCACUUGUUCCCAAAGUGCCUUUCAACCCAAACAGUCUGAAGGAGAGUGUUUGAAAACUAUGUAUGUUUUGAAAUUAAUUUAGCAAAUUUUGAAGUGCCCUGUAGCAGUUGGCUUACUGUUGAAAUUUUGUUGCCUUUGUCAGGGCUUUUCCAAUCUCUUUAGGUUUUCAU